Salmo salar (Atlantic salmon) is the source of this 88-nucleotide non-coding RNA. The record is from Rfam. Lineage: Eukaryota; Metazoa; Chordata; Actinopteri; Salmoniformes; Salmonidae.
CCCUGUGGCUCAGUUGGUAGAGCAUGGUGUUUGCAACGCCUGCAUGGUGUGUGCAACGCCAGGGUUGUGGGUUCGAUUCCCACAGGGG